Molecule: non-coding RNA, 83 nt
Organism: Xylariomycetidae sp. FL2044
Lineage: Eukaryota; Fungi; Ascomycota; Sordariomycetes
Source: the annotation of a GenBank genome assembly
GGGCUUGUAUUUCAGUGGUAGAAUUUUCGAUUCCAGCCUCUGGAACCUCCGAAAGGUCGUCCGUUCAAAUCGGGCCAAGCUCA